This 114-nucleotide ribosomal RNA is filed under the name Theileria annulata. Lineage: Eukaryota; Apicomplexa; Aconoidasida; Piroplasmida; Theileriidae. The record is from RNAcentral.
UAAAUUAGCAUAAAUGAUCAGAUAAUACAUCCAAAUAUACUUGGAACAAACGCGGAUAAAUGCAAGGGAGCAGUUUGUUUAAAUAUCUUGAGGGAGGACUGGCUGCCGAUUUAC